ACUCCGUACGGGAGGCAGCAGGUAGGGAAUCUUCCACAAUGGGACGAAAGUACUGAUGGAGCAACGCCGCGUGAGUGAAGAAGGGUUUCGGCUCGUAAAAACCUCUGUUGUUAAAAGAAGAACAUAUCUGAGAGUAACUGUUCAGGUAUUGACGGUAUUUAACCAGAAAGCCACGGCUAACUACGUGCCAGCAGCCGCGGUAAUACGUAGGUGGCAAGCGUUGUCCGGAUUUAUUGGGGCGUAAAGCGAGCGCAGGCGGUUUUUAAAGUCUGAUGUGAAAGCCUUCGGCUCAACCGAAGAAGUGCAUCGGAAACUGGGAAACUUGAGUGCAGAAGAGGACAGUGGAACUCCAUGUGGUAGCGGUGAAAUGCGUAGAUAAUAUGGAAGAACACCAGUGGCGAAAGGCGGCUGUCUGGUCUGUAACUGACGCUGAGGCUCGAAAGUAUGGGUAGCAAAC
Molecule: ribosomal RNA, 457 nt
Filed under: uncultured bacterium
Lineage: Bacteria
Description: bacterial SSU rRNA
Rfam family: Bacterial small subunit ribosomal RNA
Source: RNAcentral